RNAcentral lists this long non-coding RNA (2767 nucleotides) under Mus musculus (house mouse). Its description in RNAcentral is "long non-coding RNA chr17:21008969-21011736". The record is from RNAcentral. Lineage: Eukaryota; Metazoa; Chordata; Mammalia; Rodentia; Muridae.
AUAAAUUUUGUAGCUGGGUGAGUUUUCCCAGAUUCUUUAGGCCGGUUGCUGGCACUCAGAACCCGGACCUCUGCCCUGGAGUCCCCAUCUUGUGUGCAAAGCUCCACUCGGUGACGCGGAGAGCUGCGAGACUGAGGAAGUAGGAACGUGGGAGAGAGAGAUGGCAGCGGAGCCAGGGGAGGGGAUGGAGCCAGGAAGGAGCGGGGGCACGGAUUCAAAAGCUUCAGCGGUCGGGGAGGAGACAUGACUAUCGUUUGUGCGGGCAGUGCCAGGUGAUGCGGUACUAGAGAGUGCCGCGGGUGACAGAAUAGCAGAGGAGCAGCUUGCCGCGGCGCCUGGUGGAAAGGAAAAAGAAAGCAGGGUCUGGAGAUGCUGGCAAGAGUGGAGAGGAGGGUGAGAGAACAGCUAAACUGCCAUAAUGUGUGACAGAAAGAAAAGCAGGCGAUGGAAGCGAAAGGGAAAGUAUCUGGGGAGAACUUCCAAGACCAAGUUCUCAGACCAAGUUCUCAGCACAAAGAUUUAUUUGUCUUAGAGGUACAGAAGGCCCGGAUAAAGGUCAGAGACAGGAGAUAGAGGAAGAAGGGGAAGGGAACAAAGAAGAGGGCAGAAAGGGGCAAGAGAGAGGGGUUAGGAGUAUUUGUCCAGAAGUGGGACAAAUGACUGUUUCUAGAUAGAGAGGAGACAGAUGUGACCCAUAGGCAAAUGGCGGCUUAUAGAGGUAAAAUGAGAAUCCCCUUAUUAGGACGAGGUGUUUAGCUGGCACAUUAAUUAGGUGAGCCAGAGGUGCCUUUCGGUUGCCAGACUUCAAUGCUUUGAUAGCUGGGCCUUCAUAGUAAGUGUCAGGAGGAGGAAUUGGCCAAAUAAAGGAAUAGACUUUGGGUGUAGCUUUAGGAAUGUAAUCUGAGAGUUUUUAGCAAGGCAGAGAGAGGAAAGGGGCAAGGCCUACCAGAGUCAUGGUCACCAUGCUGGAGCUGGCAAAGUCCCUUCAGAAAGUGUGAAUAAGAUAGUGCAGAAUGAGGGAGGGGCAGGCUGGAUAAAGCAGAAGUUGAUGGAAUAGUAAGGUUAUUAUUACUGAGCUUGUCUUUGUUGUUGAAAUAAAAAAACCCUUAAUUUUUGUUUGAAUUUUAGUGGUAUGGAAGAGAGUUGCAAAACUUGAUCUGAUGGGCAUUAACUGGUAUUGUGUUAGGCAUGGUGGCACAGAUCAGUAAUGCCAGCAUGUGGGAAGAAAGCUGGGGUAGGAAAAUGGAGACUUUAAAGGUGGCGUGGAAUACUAAGACAAAUAACUAAGACACUUUCUCAAUGAAUAAAUACUGUUGGUGUUUACUGAUCCUUUAUAGUCCUUAUACAGCCAGAACUAAUGUGAGAUUUUUUAGACAGUGUCACCCUUCUUUGACAGGGGUAAUGUGUGGAGGAGCUGUGGGAUUCUUCUAACCCCCUAACACUUAACUUUUAGCAUAGAAUGUGUUGCCUCCGGUCACAGUAAAUGUGUGAUGUUUUUUCUCCUUCAGGCACCAACUUAAGUACUUUAACUCAUAUCUUUUUUAUUAUUAUUAUUUUAUAGACAUUUUUAUGAGAUAUUUUCUUUAUUUACAUUUCAAAUGUUAUCCCCUUUCUUAGUUUCCCCUCCGAAAAUCCCCUAUCUCCUCUCCCCUUCCCUUGCUCCCCAACCCACCUACUCCUGCUUCCUGUCCCUGGCAUUCCCCUAUACUGUGGCAUAGAAGCUUCCCAGGACCAAGGGCCUCUUCUUCACACAUGGUGGGACUCAUGGCUCUAGCUAUUUAUUUAACUCAUAUCUUGCUCACUUCAAACGCCACCGUUUCUCACCACUGUACCCUUUCACUUCCAAGUCCCAUGUCCUGAAUAUAACUUGCUAUCACAAGUGCUGUUAAUCUACUCACUCAGCAACAGAUUGUCAGGGAAAUCCUUUGGUUAGGUUUGCUCAUUAUGAGAAACAAGACAAAGGGAACAGGUGACCUUUUCAGAAGAAUCUCCUGUACGUUUCAACAUGUCAUGUAGGGAAGCUGUCCACUUCUGAAGUGUUGGCUGAAGGUUCUGCUUAUAUUGAUUUUGUCUAUUUGGUUAUAUGUGUUUGUAUGUACACAUGUGUGCAUUCUGAGUGUGUGCAGUGGCAUUCCUUGUAUUCCUGAUCUUUCUGAGAAGGGAUCAAGUUUUAGAGAAAAGUGCCAAGUCACCUGUUGUCCCUCCUGCAGUAGUUUGUUGUUGCUAUAUCCUCUUGAUAUAGUGGGCUACAGAUGCCCUUAUUUCUACAUGGUGAAUGAAGUCCUGCCUGUGGCUGUGGCUGUGGCUGUGGCUCUGGACACAGGAAGUGGGUGUCUUGCUGGGCUGGUUCCCAUGCACCUGUAAUCCCAGCUCUCAGAGACUGAAGCAGCAGGAUCAUGCAUUCAAGGCCUGCCCAGGCUAUAUAGUAGAUUCUUGUCUCAAAAGGGGAUGAUAAGUGAAUGCAUGUAUCCUGGAUAUUAUACUUUUGCUAUUUUGAGAGACGGUUCCGUUAGUUCCAUAUGGCCUGAAAAUCACUAUGUUGUCUAGACUUUCAGUUGACAAUCCUCUGCUUUGAACGAUGUGAUUGUAUGUAUAUCCCACAAUAUCCAGGCUUUAUUAUUUAUUCAUUCAUUCCCAGAAUAAGAGUUUUUACUAUAUCACCUUGCAAGCAUGUGAUAUACUUAAUUGUAUGCUUUUGGUAUUCAGGAUUGACUUCUAAACAUUAAUGUUGCACAAGGAAGAACCUGGGAGAAGGAGAAGAAAGAGG